This 64-nucleotide transfer RNA is filed under the name Sarcophilus harrisii (Tasmanian devil). It matches the Rfam family "tRNA". Rfam says of the family: Transfer RNA (tRNA) molecules are approximately 80 nucleotides in length. Their secondary structure includes four short double-helical elements and three loops (D, anti-codon, and T loops). The record is from Rfam by way of RNAcentral. Lineage: Eukaryota; Metazoa; Chordata; Mammalia; Dasyuromorphia; Dasyuridae.
ACAAAUAUAGUUUAACAAAAACAUUAGAUUGUGAAUCUAAGGAGUUUAAAUCUCCUUAUAUGCU